This 406-nucleotide ribosomal RNA is filed under the name uncultured bacterium. RNAcentral describes it as "partial 16S ribosomal RNA". It matches the Rfam family "Bacterial small subunit ribosomal RNA", at positions 28 to 526 of the family's 1533-position model. The record is from RNAcentral.
GAUAAACGCUGGCGGCGUGCCUAACACAUGCAAGUCGAACGAAGUUGCGAACGGGUGAGUAACACGUGAGUAACCUGCCUUACACAAGGGGAUAGCCUUUGGAAACGAAGAAUAAUACCCUAUAGUGUAAGAUGGACUUGCGUCUGAUUAGCUAGUUGGUGGGAUAAAAGCCCACCAAGGCGACGAGCAGUAGCCGGGUUGGGAGAGUGGACCGGAACAUUGGGACAGAGACACGGCCCAAACUCUACGGGAGGCAGCAGUGGUGAAGUUGGCACAAUGGGGGAAACCCGAAUGCAGCGACGCCGCGUGAUUUAGAAGGCAGUCGGGUUGUAAAAAUCUUUUUUAUGGGAUGCAGUACCAUAAGAAUAAGGUCCGGCUAAAUACGUGCCAGCCGCCGCGGUAAUAC